UUUUAAUCUGCUCCAGCAGCUAAAUAAACUGUUUAAGAUAACGUUAGCUUGAUAUGUUAGCUUCCAUUGCCACCAUUGUUAUCAGCUAAUGGUGCGUUCGCUUUCUCCUCGGAAAUUCUAACUUCCCAGUAGGAAAAAUCAAAUGAAAAAGGACGGCAAAAGGAAUGAAGAUACACAAGUCAACCCUAAGAUGUUUGCUUCAGUUUAAUUAUCAG
Molecule: long non-coding RNA, 215 nt
Filed under: Nothobranchius furzeri (turquoise killifish)
Lineage: Eukaryota; Metazoa; Chordata; Actinopteri; Cyprinodontiformes; Nothobranchiidae
Description: lncRNA (ENSNFUG00015019572.1)
Source: RNAcentral